GAUGAACGCUGGCGGUGUGCCUAAUACAUGCAAGUCGAACGAGAAGGUUCUAUUCUUCGGAAAAGAACUGGAAAGUGGCGAACGGGUGAGUAACGCGUUGGUGACCUGCCCCAAAGAGAGGGACAACAGAACGAAAGAUCUGCUAAUACCUCAUGUGGUCUAAGUAGUUAGAGAACUUAGAUUAAAGGAUUUAUCCGCUUUGGGAGGGGCCUGCGUCCCAUCAGCUAGUUGGUAAGGUAACGGCUUACCAAGGCGAUGACGGGUAGGGGACCUGAGAGGGUGGUCCCCCACAAUGGAACUGAAACACGGUCCAUACACCUACGGGUGGCAGCAGUAGGGAAUAUUGCACAAUGGGCGAAAGCCUGAUGCAGCAACACCGCGUGUGUGAUGAAGGCCUUCGGGUCGUAAAGCACUUUUACGA
This 421-nucleotide ribosomal RNA is filed under the name uncultured bacterium. RNAcentral describes it as "bacterial SSU rRNA". It matches the Rfam family "Bacterial small subunit ribosomal RNA", at positions 28 to 441 of the family's 1533-position model. The record is from RNAcentral.